Molecule: microRNA, 23 nt
Filed under: Caenorhabditis remanei
Lineage: Eukaryota; Metazoa; Nematoda; Chromadorea; Rhabditida; Rhabditidae
Description: crm-miR-246-5p
Gene: crm-miR-246-5p
Source: miRBase by way of RNAcentral
ACCUGGCCGAUUUCAUGUAAUAU